Molecule: ribosomal RNA, 2920 nt
Filed under: Enterobacter ludwigii
Lineage: Bacteria; Pseudomonadati; Pseudomonadota; Gammaproteobacteria; Enterobacterales; Enterobacteriaceae
Description: 23S ribosomal RNA
Rfam family: Bacterial large subunit ribosomal RNA
Source: RNAcentral
GGGUUGUGAGGUUAAGCGACUAAGCGUACACGGUGGAUGCCCUGGCAGUCAGAGGCGAUGAAGGACGUGCUAAUCUGCGAAAAGCGCCGGCGAGGUGAUAUGAACCUUUGACCCGGCGAUGUCCGAAUGGGGAAACCCAGUGUGAUUCGUCACACUAUCGUUAACUGAAUACAUAGGUUAACGAGGCGAACCGGGGGAACUGAAACAUCUAAGUACCCCGAGGAAAAGAAAUCAACCGAGAUUCCCCCAGUAGCGGCGAGCGAACGGGGAGCAGCCCAGAGUCUGAAUCAGCUUGUGUGUUAGUGGAAGCGUCUGGAAAGUCGCACGGUACAGGGUGACAGUCCCGUACACGAAAGCACACAGGCUGUGAACUCGAAGAGUAGGGCGGGACACGUGGUAUCCUGUCUGAAUAUGGGGGACCAUCCUCCAAGGCUAAAUACUCCUGACUGACCGAUAGUGAACCAGUACCGUGAGGAAAGGCGAAAAGAACCCCGGCGAGGGAGUGAAAAAGAACCUGAAACCGUGUACGUACAAGCAGUGGGAGCCUCUUUUAUGGGGUGACUGCGUACCUUUUGUAUAAUGGGUCAGCGACUUAUAUUCUGUAGCAAGGUUAACCGUAUAGGGGAGCCGAAGGGAAACCGAGUCUUAACUGGGCGUUAAGUUGCAGGGUAUAGACCCGAAACCCGGUGAUCUAGCCAUGGGCAGGUUGAAGGUUGGGUAACACUAACUGGAGGACCGAACCGACUAAUGUUGAAAAAUUAGCGGAUGACUUGUGGCUGGGGGUGAAAGGCCAAUCAAACCGGGAGAUAGCUGGUUCUCCCCGAAAGCUAUUUAGGUAGCGCCUCGUGAACUCAUCUUCGGGGGUAGAGCACUGUUUCGGCUAGGGGCCAUCCCGGCUUACCAACCCGAUGCAAACUACGAAUACCGAAGAAUGUUAUCACGGGAGACACACGGCGGGUGCUAACGUCCGUCGUGAAGAGGGAAACAACCCAGACCGCCAGCUAAGGUCCCAAAGUCAUGGUUAAGUGGGAAACGAUGUGGGAAGGCACAGACAGCCAGGAUGUUGGCUUAGAAGCAGCCAUCAUUUAAAGAAAGCGUAAUAGCUCACUGGUCGAGUCGGCCUGCGCGGAAGAUGUAACGGGGCUAAACCAUGCACCGAAGCUGCGGCAGCGACACUAUGUGUUGUUGGGUAGGGGAGCGUUCUGUAAGCCGUUGAAGGUGUCCUGUGAGGGGUGCUGGAGGUAUCAGAAGUGCGAAUGCUGACAUAAGUAACGAUAAAGCGGGUGAAAAGCCCGCUCGCCGGAAGACCAAGGGUUCUGUCCAACGUUAAUCGGGGCAGGGUGAGUCGACCCCUAAGGCGAGGCCGAAAGGCGUAGUCGAUGGGAAACAGGUUAAUAUUCCUGUACUUGGUGUUACUGCGAAGGGGGACGGAGAAGGCUAUGUUAGCCGGGCGACGGUUGUCCCGGUUUAAGCAUGUAGGCGGAGGUUCCAGGUAAAUCCGGUUCCUUAUUAACGCUGAGGUGUGAUGACGAGGCACUACGGUGCUGAAGUAACAAAUGCCCUGCUUCCAGGAAAAGCCUCUAAGCAUCAGGUAACAUCAAAUCGUACCCCAAACCGACACAGGUGGUCAGGUAGAGAAUACCAAGGCGCUUGAGAGAACUCGGGUGAAGGAACUAGGCAAAAUGGUGCCGUAACUUCGGGAGAAGGCACGCUGAUAUGUAGGUGAAGCCCCUGCGGGUGGAGCUGAAAUCAGUCGAAGAUACCAGCUGGCUGCAACUGUUUAUUAAAAACACAGCACUGUGCAAACACGAAAGUGGACGUAUACGGUGUGACGCCUGCCCGGUGCCGGAAGGUUAAUUGAUGGGGUUAGCGGUAACGCGAAGCUCUUGAUCGAAGCCCCGGUAAACGGCGGCCGUAACUAUAACGGUCCUAAGGUAGCGAAAUUCCUUGUCGGGUAAGUUCCGACCUGCACGAAUGGCGUAAUGAUGGCCAGGCUGUCUCCACCCGAGACUCAGUGAAAUUGAACUCGCUGUGAAGAUGCAGUGUACCCGCGGCAAGACGGAAAGACCCCGUGAACCUUUACUAUAGCUUGACACUGAACACUGGUCCUUGAUGUGUAGGAUAGGUGGGAGGCUUUGAAGCGUGGACGCCAGUCUGCGUGGAGCCAACCUUGAAAUACCACCCUUUAAUGGCUGGUGUUCUAACGUAGACCCGUGAUCCGGGUUGCGGACAGUGUCUGGUGGGUAGUUUGACUGGGCGGUCUCCUCCCAAAGAGUAACGGAGGAGCACGAAGGUUAGCUAAUCCUGGUCGGACAUCAGGAGGUUAGUGCAAUGGCAUAAGCUAGCUUGACUGCGAGAGUGACGGCUCGAGCAGGUGCGAAAGCAGGUCAUAGUGAUCCGGUGGUUCUGAAUGGAAGGGCCAUCGCUCAACGGAUAAAAGGUACUCCGGGGAUAACAGGCUGAUACCGCCCAAGAGUUCAUAUCGACGGCGGUGUUUGGCACCUCGAUGUCGGCUCAUCACAUCCUGGGGCUGAAGUAGGUCCCAAGGGUAUGGCUGUUCGCCAUUUAAAGUGGUACGCGAGCUGGGUUUAGAACGUCGUGAGACAGUUCGGUCCCUAUCUGCCGUGGGCGCUGGAGAAUUGAGGGGGGCUGCUCCUAGUACGAGAGGACCGGAGUGGACGCAUCACUGGUGUUCGGGUUGUCAUGCCAAUGGCACUGCCCGGUAGCUAAAUGCGGAAGAGAUAAGUGCUGAAAGCAUCUAAGCACGAAACUUGCCCCGAGAUGAGUUCUCCCUGAGACUUUAAGUCUCCUGAAGGAACGUUGAAGACUACGACGUUGAUAGGUCGGGUGUGUAAGCGCAGCGAUGCGUUGAGCUAACCGAUACUAAUGAACCGUGAGGCUUAACCUUACAACGCCGAAG